Molecule: ribosomal RNA, 474 nt
Filed under: uncultured bacterium
Lineage: Bacteria
Description: bacterial SSU rRNA
Rfam family: Bacterial small subunit ribosomal RNA
Source: RNAcentral
GAUAAACGCUGGCGGCGCACAUAAGACAUGCAAGUCGAACGAACUUAACUCAUUCUUUUAGUUUGAGAGCGGUUAGUGGCGGACUGGUGAGUAACACGUAAGCAACCUGCCUAUUAGAGGGGAAUAACAGUGAGAAAUCACUGCUAAUACCGCAUAUGCUCACAGUAUCACAUGAUACAGUGAGGAAAGGAGUAAUCCGCUAAUAGAUGGGCUUGCGUCUGAUUAGCUAGUUGGUGGGGUAAUGGCCUACCAAGGCGACGAUCAGUAGCCGGACUGAGAGGUUGAACGGCCACAUUGGGACUGAGAUACGGCCCAGACUCCUACGGGAGGCAGCAGUCGGGAAUAUUGCGCAAUGGAGGAAACCCUGAUGCAGCGACGCCGCGUGAGUGAAGAAGUAUUUCGGUAUGUAAAGCUCUAUCAGCAGGGAAGAAAUGACGGCACCUGACUAAGAAGCCCCGGCUAACUACGUGCCAG